This 463-nucleotide ribosomal RNA is filed under the name uncultured bacterium. RNAcentral's name for it is "partial 16S ribosomal RNA". It matches the Rfam family "Bacterial small subunit ribosomal RNA", at positions 28 to 507 of the family's 1533-position model. The record is from RNAcentral.
GAUGAACGCUGACAGAAUGCUUAACACAUGCAAGUCUUUGGCGAAGCUGUGCUCGCACAGCCUAGCCAAGGCGGACGGGUGAGUAACGCGUAAGGAACUUGCCCUGCAGUCAGGGAUAACAGACGGAAACGACUGAUAAGACCUGGUAAAGUCAGGCGGACUCAUGCCCAGCCUGAUGAAAAGAGAUGCUGCAGGAGAGCCUUGCGUCCUAUUAGCUUGUUGGUGGGGUAACGGCCCACCAAGGCGAUGAUAGGUAGCCGGCCUGAGAGGGUGGACGGCCACAAGGGGACUGAGAUACGGCCCUUACUCCUACGGGAGGCAGCAGUGGGGAAUAUUGGACAAUGGGGGCAACCCUGAUCCAGCAAUUCUGUGUGCACGAUGAAGGUUUUCGGAUUGUAAAGUGCUUUCAGCAGGGAAGAAAAAAAUGACGGUACCUGCAGAAGAAGCGACGGCUAAAUACGUG